AACGAACGCUGGCGGCAUGCCUAACACAUGCAAGUCGAACGAGACCUUCGGGUUUAGUGGCGCACGGGUGCGUAACACGUGGGAAUCUGCCCUUUGCUUCGGAAUAACAGUUAGAAAUGACUGGUAAUACCGGAGGAUGUCGAAAGACCAAAGAUUUAUCGGCAAAGGGUGAGCGCGCGUAGGAUAAGGGAGUUGGGGGGGUAAAGGCCUACAAAGCCGACGAUCCUUAGCGGGUCUGAGAGGAUGAUCAGACACACUGGGACUGAGACACGGCCCAGACUCCUACGGGAGGCAGCAGUGGGGAAUAUUGGACAAUGGGCGAGCGCCUGAUCCAGCAAUGCCGCGUGAGUGAUGAAGGCAUGAGGGUUGUAAAUCUCUUUUACCAGGGAAGAUAAUGACGGUACCUGGAGAAUAAGCUCCGGCUAACUCCGUG
RNAcentral lists this ribosomal RNA (433 nucleotides) under uncultured bacterium. Its description in RNAcentral is "partial 16S ribosomal RNA". It matches the Rfam family "Bacterial small subunit ribosomal RNA", at positions 29 to 507 of the family's 1533-position model. The record is from RNAcentral.